Non-coding RNA from Laribacter hongkongensis HLHK9, 181 nucleotides. It matches the Rfam family "6S / SsrS RNA". Rfam says of the family: E. coli 6S RNA was the first non coding RNA to be sequenced, but its function was unknown until recently. Lineage: Bacteria; Pseudomonadati; Pseudomonadota; Betaproteobacteria; Neisseriales; Aquaspirillaceae. The record is from Rfam.
AGUCCCCUGCGGCGUUCGGGAUGGCUUAAUUUCCCAGAACCAAUAUUCGAUGCAAGGUUGCUGACAUUUAGCAUGUGGGCGUGUCGUGCUGGCUUGCCAGUGCGCCCGAAACAUGCGGUUGGCGACCACCUGAACCGUAAGGUUCGGGAUAAGCAGCCGGAUCGACGCUUGCGGGGGCAAA